This 183-nucleotide non-coding RNA is filed under the name unclassified sequences. The record is from Rfam.
AUUCCACGGCCCCUGCCACUCCACAAACAUGGCAGGCAAGCUGUGAAAAAAAGGAGGAUAAAAAAGGCCUUGACUCAGGCUGCGGCAGUGUGGAGACCUGUCGCAACGCGGACUCUUCCAGCGCGGAGAGCCGUGAGUGCACAUCAAGCGGAGGCUGUGUGCACGGAGUCGGAAAACAUGGCA